UACCAAAGGUCCCAAGUUCAAAUCCCG
RNAcentral lists this unclassified non-coding RNA (27 nucleotides) under Mus musculus (house mouse). RNAcentral describes it as "oocyte_clustered_small_RNA8324". Lineage: Eukaryota; Metazoa; Chordata; Mammalia; Rodentia; Muridae. The record is from RNAcentral.